RNAcentral lists this ribosomal RNA (601 nucleotides) under Aspergillus fumigatus. Its description in RNAcentral is "eukaryotic LSU rRNA". The stretch from base 219 to 372 matches the Rfam family "5.8S ribosomal RNA". The record is from RNAcentral. Lineage: Eukaryota; Fungi; Ascomycota; Eurotiomycetes; Eurotiales; Aspergillaceae.
CUUCCGUAGGGUGAACCUGCGGAAGGAUCAUUACCGAGUGAGGGCCCUCUGGGUCCAACCUCCCACCCGUGUCUAUCGUACCUUGUUGCUUCGGCGGGCCCGCCGUUUCGACGGCCGCCGGGGAGGCCUUGCGCCCCCGGGCCCGCGCCCGCCGAAGACCCCAACAUGAACGCUGUUCUGAAAGUAUGCAGUCUGAGUUGAUUAUCGUAAUCAGUUAAAACUUUCAACAACGGAUCUCUUGGUUCCGGCAUCGAUGAAGAACGCAGCGAAAUGCGAUAAGUAAUGUGAAUUGCAGAAUUCAGUGAAUCAUCGAGUCUUUGAACGCACAUUGCGCCCCCUGGUAUUCCGGGGGGCAUGCCUGUCCGAGCGUCAUUGCUGCCCUCAAGCACGGCUUGUGUGUUGGGCCCCCGUCCCCCUCUCCCGGGGGACGGGCCCGAAAGGCAGCGGCGGCACCGCGUCCGGUCCUCGAGCGUAUGGGGCUUUGUCACCUGCUCUGUAGGCCCGGCCGGCGCCAGCCGACACCCAACUUUAUUUUUCUAAGGUUGACCUCGGAUCAGGUAGGGAUACCCGCUGAACUUAAGCAUAUCAAUAAGCGGAGGAA